UGGUUGACUCAUAGUAAUUGAGCUGAUCGCACGGUCUUGCACCGGCGACGUGUCUUUCAAGUAUCUGCCGUAUCAACUUUCGAUGGUAGUGUAUCUGACUACCAUGGUGAUCACGCGUAACGGAGAAUAAGGGUUCGACUCCGGAGAGUUCGCCUGAGAAAUCGCGAACACAUCUAAGGAAGGCAGCAGGCGCGAAAAUUACCCACUCUCAGCACGAGGAGGUAGUGACGAAAAAUAACGAGACCGUUCUCUUAUGAGGCCGGUCAUCGGAAUGGGUACAAUUUAAACCCUUUAACGAGUAUCUAUGAGAGGGCAAGUCUGGUGCCAGCAGCCGCGGUAAUUCCAGCUCUCAAAGUGCAUAGAAUUAUUGCUGCGGUUAAAAAGCUCGUAGUUGGAUCUGUGCCAUAGGACGGGGUCUACCUUCGGGUACGCACUUCGCUCCUAGGCUUUUUGCUGGUUUUCCCGUCGUAGCCUUCACUGGUUGCGGCGGGUGGCUGGCGAGUUUACUUUGAGAAAAUCAGAGUGCUCAACACAGGCGUAUAGCUUGAAUGAUUGUGCAUGGAAUAAUAGAAAAGGAUUUCGGUCCUCUUUUAUUGGUUUUGUGGACUGAGAUAAUGGUUAACAGGGACAAACGGGGGCAUUCGUAUCGCUGCGUGAGAGGUGAAAUUCUUGGACCGUAGCGAGACGCCCUACUGCGAAAGCAUUUGCCAAGAAUGUCUUCAUUA
RNAcentral lists this ribosomal RNA (725 nucleotides) under Aphelenchoides sp. Its description in RNAcentral is "SSU rRNA". It matches the Rfam family "Eukaryotic small subunit ribosomal RNA", at positions 243 to 975 of the family's 1831-position model. The record is from RNAcentral. Lineage: Eukaryota; Metazoa; Nematoda; Chromadorea; Rhabditida; Aphelenchoididae.